CUCGUGUCGUGAGAUGUUCGGUUAAGUCCGGCAACGAGCGCAACCCACGUCUUUAGUUGCCAGCAUUCAGUUGGGCACUCUAAAGAAACUGCCGAUGAUAAGUCGGAGGAAGGUGUGGAUGACGUCAAGUCCUCAUGGCCCUUACGGGUUGGGCUACACACGUGCUACAAUGGUGGUGACAGUGGGUUAAUCCCCAAAAGCCAUCUCAGUUCGGAUUGGGGUCUGCAACUCGACCCCAUGAAGUUGGAAUCGCUAGUAAUCGCGGAACAGCAUGCCGCGGUGAAUACGUUCCCGGGCCUU
RNAcentral lists this ribosomal RNA (300 nucleotides) under uncultured bacterium. RNAcentral's name for it is "bacterial SSU rRNA". It matches the Rfam family "Bacterial small subunit ribosomal RNA", at positions 1059 to 1382 of the family's 1533-position model. The record is from RNAcentral.